GAUGAAGAACGCAGCAAAAUGCGAUAAGUAAUGUGAAUUGCAGAAUUCAGUGAAUCAUCGAAUCUUUGAACGCACAUUGCGCCCGCCAGUAUUCUGGCGGGCAUGCCUGUUCGAGCGUCAUUUCAACCCUCAAGCACAGCUUGGUGUUGGGACUCGCGUUAAUUCGCGUUCCUCAAAUUGAUUGGCGGUCACGUCGAGCUUCCAUAGCGUAGUAGUAAAACCCUCGUUACUGGUAAUCGUCGCGGCCACGCCGUUAAACCUCAACUUCUGAAUGUUGACCUCGGAUCAGGUAGGAAUACCCGCUGAACUUAAGCAUAUCAAUAAGCGGAGGA
This 332-nucleotide unclassified non-coding RNA is filed under the name soil metagenome. Its description in RNAcentral is "partial contains 5.8S ribosomal RNA, internal transcribed spacer 2, and large subunit ribosomal RNA". The stretch from base 1 to 120 matches the Rfam family "5.8S ribosomal RNA", at positions 35 to 154 of the family's 154-position model. The record is from RNAcentral.